Cynoglossus semilaevis (tongue sole) is the source of this 3730-nucleotide long non-coding RNA. RefSeq lists it as uncharacterized. The transcript has 9 exons. The record is from RefSeq and is a predicted model, not a curated record. Lineage: Eukaryota; Metazoa; Chordata; Actinopteri; Pleuronectiformes; Cynoglossidae.
ACAAAAACACUACUACAUAGUGUCACUGUCCUGUCUUCGUGUCUCUCUCGCUCUAUUUCUGUGUGAGGAAGAGAGUGAGUGAAUGUUUGCGUGUGUGUGUGUGUUGUAAUUCCCAGCAGUUCAGAUUGAGGCUGCUUGGAGGAGGGGUGGGGGGGUGCUGAGGUUUGAAGGAAUGAUUGGAGGAUGGAGGUGGGGGAGUCGAUGAUUGUUAGGUUUAAAUCCAAGAGUGUAUUUCCAGUACUGCAUAGCCAACUGUCUCUCUCUCUCUUUCUCUCUCUCUUUCUUUCUCUCACACACACACACACACACACACUAUAGGCAUUGUGCUGAGUACAUGGCUGCUCUCCAGUGUUGGAGUGCACCGUCCAAACACACUGUAUUGUAGUUUCCCGUCAGCACCUGCCUCCUGUCACUCAUCCGUCCACUCGGAGACAACCCUGACUCUUUGAGGACAUUGAUCUAUAAUAAGCUAGUUAACAACUUUUUCCAAUAGAAACCUGAGUUAAGUGUGAUCUCUACACCAUAAGGGUGACUGACAGAAAGAUUAUCCAGGCAGAACGCAGCACGUGUGUCUGUGAGCCAUAAAGUUUAACAAAUGUACACUAAACCGAAGAACAGGUGAUAAGUCCUGUCCCUUUACAGCACACUCCCCGUGAUGAGUGGCCAGGCUCUGUGGAGGUUACUGACCCAUCUGUGGCCUGCCAUUACAAUCUGACAGAGUGUCUUCGUUCAGUUGGGCCUCAGUUGGAGUCACGUCUUCUGCCAUGAACGCAUUCUGCGUUGGCUGUUCUUCUUCAUCCAAGCCCUCGGACAUGUUCCUCAAAUAUUUCUCCCAGUCGUCUACUGAAGGCCCCACAGCUUCAAAUAAUGUAGGAGGGACUGGAGAGGGACCCUGCUCUGUAGUCACCACAGCACCACCUGCUCUGCACAGUAUUAAACAUCUAUUAGAAAAAAAAAAUGUACAGCAGGGAUUUGCUGAGCUGUAGAUGUGUUCCACCAGCUGAGGCAGAGUUUGGCUGAAGAAGGUCAAGUCCACCCUGUCCCUGAUGUAGUCUUCUGCCCUCUGGAGAAGGUCCAAAAGGCUCUGCAAGAAGAAACGCAUUUCUGGGCAGAGGAAAUAAACAGAAGACGAUGAGCAUAGCUGCAGUAAGAUCACGACGUGUAUACUUCAUUUCCGUUGUUCUUAAAAGCUCUGGACAUGUUGGCUCUCGGCUCCCAGACGCCCCUUAAAACAGAAGAUAUUUUCUAACAUCCAUCUCCCCAGGAAGUGAUGCCGCGGAGUUGAAACCGACCUGAGAUCCGGUCCUGGUAAAUAAGAGGACCUCCAGAAUCUCCCUACAAAACAAAGCAAACACUAAAGUGAUGAUCGAUGACCAACUAUCUGGCUGAAUGAUGAAAGAACAUGAACCAACUCCAUAAGACCAUGAUCAGAGAGCACAGAACAAAACUUUGUUCUAUCCCUUUGUCCCCAUCUUCAUCUUCAUUCUCUCUGAGUGAACUUCAUUAAUGAGCGUUAACAACGUAGACGGACUAAUCCAUGACAUUUCUUAAUGAGGUCACAGAGGGGUGCAGUACAGCGUUAACAGGUAAGAUGAUUAGAGUGAGACACAACAACACUCUGGAGCUGAGUUCAGCAGCAAAACAGGACAUUUGGCUGAGUGGGAGAAAAUUCCUCCAUGAAAUGUUGGGCGACGAUUGUGUUCGCACAGUAAAUACAGAAGUCUUUUAAUAAAACAGUCUUUAUUUCCAUUUAGCACUCAUGUUCCAAAAAGACUGUACGCUUCAGUGUCACUACAGCACGAAUACAACACUGAUCACUGCACUGAUGUGAGUUAGGACUAAAACUAAUGCACACUAACGUUGGGAUCAUAAUCAGACUCAGAGGGAAGUGACACGAGGAGCUUCAGGGCAGGAGAAGGUCACGCUAUGAGCAGAUGUUCUUUUGCCCCCCGUGUGUGAUGGAGCGAUGGAGCUUCUCAGCGGAGGCAGAGAGGAUGGAGCCCAGUGUUCUCCAUCUCUCUGACAGAAGCGGGGCAGCGGUGCGUUCUUUUCCCUCUCCAUCUUCAACGUGUCUCUUUGUGGGACUUUACUGGAGACACUUUGUCGCUGCUCUUUUUCUCUUCCGGCUCUGCCUUCCUCUGAAUCAUCCUCUACUGGUUUGGGACCGAGAAUCCAGUCUGUGAGAUUGGACAUGGAUAAUGUGUAUUGUGAGUUUUCAUGUGAGCUCUCAGACGUUUGCAUUCACUGUUAUGGGAAACCAAAGAAAGGAAAAGUGAGACACACAAGACACAAACCUGUGGGUCAAUGUGAGGGAGUGUCAACAAACAACACAGUUACAAUAAGGGUCAAAGAAGGGAACGUUCACCAUCUGUGGGACAAGAACAGGUCUGGUAGAGUCACAAUUAAAAGGGCAGCGACCAGGAGGAGUGGGAAACACCAGCCCAGUGUUUACCUGCCAGGUCAUGCAUCAGAUCUUUGAUCAGAUGUCCAACUAUAGCGUAAGUGGCCACUAAAACCAGAACUACCCCAACUAGGACGUAGACCACGUUAUGUGGCAGGCUUAUAGCAUCUCUAGGAGGAGGAACGUAGUCCAAAAAAUAGGCCUCCUCCUCUUUGUCCUUCCUGCUGGGCAGCUGGAGGAGCCGUCGAUGCUCCAACAUCACGUGUGUGAGGUUUAAAAGAAGCGGUCCUCCUGAGGUCAAAGGUUUUUGACUUGCAUUGUCAGAAACAACGCUCAUUUCAAUGAAGUUUCUUUGAAUGACUAAGAACUUGUAAUUGUCUUUGUUGCAGCUCCAAAACCCUUCACUAGAAAAAUGAAGAUACAGGAAGGUAAUAAGACAAAACAGGAAGAGGAAAUGAGCAUCAAACGAUUCACAUUUUUCUAAAGAAUCAUCACAAAUUUAAAUGUCAGCCUUGUUGAAAAUGAACCUUUUCUCUCAAAAGUUCCUUUCUUUCACACACACACAUAUUCUUGUUACCAGACAUCUUGACUUCAGGGCAGAGUAUGCAGGCUUUGUUUCCACAAGAGGAGUAAUUUUACCAAGUGCAUUACUGGCAGUCUGUUCCUAUAAAAACCUUUAGAUUUUUGUUGUUGUUGUUGAGGAUAUGAUGCUGCUGCUAGAUAUUAAAAGUUCUUAAUAAUUUAGUAACAUUGCAACAUAUAUAUAUAUAUAAUGGGUUCAUAAAGUCCUAUCUACAGUAUCUAUAUCGAUCUACAGGACCAGGGCAUUGUUCUGCUGGUGAAUACACCACCAUACACUUCUAGUGGUCUGUUAGAAAGACACGAAACAGUUUAAUUUUUCACUCAAACUUCCAGGAUUUGAGUGAAAAGUGAGACAGUGCAGAGGUGAAUAUAGGACAUAGAGCGUUAAUAGGAUUAUGUGUGUCGCAGAGCUGCAUCAGCUUUCCAUCUGCAGGGAUUAGAGAUAUGAGUGAGGUGGGCUGGACAGUAAUAUGUCUGAGAGGCUUAUGGUCUUCCAUCACUACAUCACAUUAUUGCAGACACAUACAGUAAAUCUGUUUCUCCAGGAUUUUAAACUGCUAGAUAUAAUGUGAGUGUGUUAUUCUGUCACAUCACUCCUCUAAUAUGACACCACAUUAUCACGGCUCAUUUCUGGCUCUAUAACAGAACAGAUGGUGAUAUUUGAAGCCUCGCCUCCGUCUUGUAAAAGUCAACCACUGAUAAAAAAAUGAAUAUAUCAAUAAUAUGUGCAGAUCUCUCACCUCAGAG